Molecule: unclassified non-coding RNA, 227 nt
Filed under: Hevea brasiliensis (rubber tree)
Lineage: Eukaryota; Viridiplantae; Streptophyta; Magnoliopsida; Malpighiales; Euphorbiaceae
Source: RNAcentral
AAUAAUCCUUGUGAAGCUCUUAUAACUAACAUACAACACCAAAGUGAAAAUCAGAUUAGAAAGUACUUGUAAGAAUAAAAACUGAGCCAUGCCUCAUGCACAACUUGCUAUACAAAGAGAGAAUAUUAGAGCUGACAUACUGAAGCCACCCCUGACUAUGAAGAACUCAGAGUUUCAGCGUGAGGUCUGGCGUAGAAUUGUCUAAGUCAGCUGAUGGAGUUUCCCCU